This 295-nucleotide long non-coding RNA is filed under the name Linum usitatissimum (flax). Its description in RNAcentral is "long non-coding RNA (LUSI_LNC007445)". Lineage: Eukaryota; Viridiplantae; Streptophyta; Magnoliopsida; Malpighiales; Linaceae. The record is from RNAcentral.
UUGGAUCUCUCAUCAAAUUCUUUGUCUGGCGAGAUACCUCCUUACCUUUCAAAACUUGAACAUCUGAAUGUUCUGCGUUUAGGUCACAAUCAUCUUACUGGAAAAAUACCAUCUGGCUUCAUGAACUCUUCUCUUUUGGUACUUGAUGUCUCCUUCAAUAAUUACAACUUCUCUUCUGGUACUUGAUGUCUCCUUCAAUAAUUUAUCAGGUCCUCUUCCUCUAAAUUCAAACUUGGUCAAGUGUGACAACUUCCGAGGAAAUCCUGAUCUCGAGCCAUGUAAAGAUGACUCACCA